AGCGAACGCUGGCGGCGUGCCUAACACAUGCAAGUCGAACGUGAAAGGGAGCAAUCCCAAGUAAAGUGGCGUACGGGUGAGUAACACGUAGGUAAUCUACCCCAGAAUCUGGAAUAACCGGCCGAAAGGCUGGCUAAUACUGGAUAGAGCGACGGAAUCCGUAAUUGGGUUUUUCGGGAAAGGGAGCCUGUAAAAAGGCCUUCGUUCUGGGAUGAGCCUGCGUCCCAUCAGCUAGUUGGUGAGGUAAAGGCUUACCAAGGCAAUGACGGGUAGCUGGUCUGAGAGGACGAUCAGCCACACUGGAACUGAAACACGGUCCAGACUCCUACGGGAGGCAGCAGUGGGGAAUCUUGCGCAAUGGACGAAAGUCUGACGCAGCAACGCCGCGUGAGUGAAGAAGGCCUUCGGGUUGUAAAGCUCUGUCGAGUGGGACGAAAAUGCUUGGAGUUCACAGCUCCAGGAACUGACGGUACCACUAAAGGAAGCACCGGCUAACUCCGUG
RNAcentral lists this ribosomal RNA (502 nucleotides) under uncultured bacterium. Its description in RNAcentral is "partial 16S ribosomal RNA". It matches the Rfam family "Bacterial small subunit ribosomal RNA", at positions 29 to 507 of the family's 1533-position model. The record is from RNAcentral.